GCCCGCCUCAGAAACUACAAAGGAAAGUUGACGGGGCCCGGCACAAGCGGUGGAGCAUGUGGUUUAAUUCGAUGAUACGCGAGGAACUUACCCUGGGCUCGAAAUGUAUGUUGACGUAUUCUGAAAGGGAUACUUCUUCGGACAAUAUACAAGGUGCUGCAUGGUUGUCGUCAGCUCGUGCCGUGAGGUGUCGGGUUAAGUCCCAUAACGAGCGCAACCCCUAUCAUUAGUUGCCAUCAGGUCAAGCUGGGGACUCUAAUGAAACUGCCUACGCAAGUAGUGAGGAAGGUGGGGAUGACGUCAAAUCAGCACGGCCCUUACGUCCAGGGCUACACACGUGCUACAAUGGCCGGCACAACGGGAAGCGAGUUCGCGAGGACGAGCGGAUCCCUUAAAGCCGGUCGCAGUUCGGAUUGAAGUCUGCAACUCGACUUCAUGAAGCUGGAAUCGCUAGUAAUCGUGGAUCAGCCAAGCCGCGGUGAAUACGUUCCCGGGCCUU
Molecule: ribosomal RNA, 499 nt
Filed under: uncultured Sphingobacteriales bacterium
Lineage: Bacteria; Pseudomonadati; Bacteroidota; Sphingobacteriia; Sphingobacteriales
Description: bacterial SSU rRNA
Rfam family: Bacterial small subunit ribosomal RNA
Source: RNAcentral